GACGAACGCUGGCGACGUGCUUAACACAUGCAAGUCGAACGGUGAAAGCGGAGCUUGCUCCGCUGGAUCAGUGGCGAACGGGUGAGUAACACGUGGGCAACCUGCCCCUCACUUCGGGAUAACUCCGGGAAACCGGGGCUAAUACCGGAUAUGACCUCCUUGGGCAUCCUUGGAGGUGGAAAGUUUUUCGGUGAGGGAUGGGCCCGCGGCCUAUCUGCUUGUUGGUGAGGUAGUGGCUCACCAAGGCGACGACGGGUAGCCGGCCUGAGAGGGCGACCGGCCACACUGGGAAUGAGACACGGCCCAGACUCCUACGGGAGGCAGCAGUGGGGAAUAUUGCGCAAUGGGCGAAAGCCUGACGCAGCAACGCCGCGUGCGGGAUGACGGCCUUCGGGUUGUAAACCGCUUUCAGCAGGGAAGAAGCCGCAAGGUGACGGUACCUGCAGAAGAAGCACCGGCUAACUACGUGCCAGCCGCCGCGGUAA
RNAcentral lists this ribosomal RNA (485 nucleotides) under uncultured bacterium. Its description in RNAcentral is "partial 16S ribosomal RNA". It matches the Rfam family "Bacterial small subunit ribosomal RNA", at positions 28 to 523 of the family's 1533-position model. The record is from RNAcentral.